Haliotis rubra (blacklip abalone) is the source of this 574-nucleotide long non-coding RNA. RefSeq lists it as uncharacterized. Lineage: Eukaryota; Metazoa; Mollusca; Gastropoda; Lepetellida; Haliotidae. The record is from RefSeq and is a predicted model, not a curated record. The transcript has 3 exons.
ACAUGAUAGAAUCACCCACACUUUGUGAUAACCAAACGUGGGUAAAACCUGUGUAAAAUAGAAACCAAAAGGAACUGACUGAAACAGCCUCCUGCUGUACCUGGUGAUUGUUGACCGUAGGUGCGUGACUUCCACUACAUCCCCAAGAGCGAUAGAGGGGCUACACCAUGGCGACACUCUGCGUGACCGUCACACCAUGCUGCGUUGGAUUGUAAUGGAUAAGUAUUACUGGACCCCCAGCUGUGACGUGGUGGAGGGGUCGCCACCUUCUUCUAAAACCGUUGUGGUCCUGCUGAGAUGCGUCUCGCUUUUUUUUGAUGAUCGACCAUGACCAAUGCAGUUUACCGUAUAUAAAGACUUCUGUUUUCGUGAUACCCACCAUAGGAAGGCCAGUACAGCGUGUUACACAAUGAACAACUUAACAGUUUUGUUGCUUCUAGCGAUCGGGUGCAUGGUUGCGUUAACUCUAUGUGACGCGCACGGUCACGGACAUGGUCACCAUGGACACGGGCAUGGACAUGGUCAUCACGGACAUGGUCAUGGUCAUCACGGGCAUGGUCAUGGUCAUCACGGG